GACGAACGCUGGCGGCGUGCUUAACACAUGCAAGUCGAACGGAAAGGCCCUGCGUUUGUGGGGUGCUCGAGUGGCGAACGGGUGAGUAACACGUGAGUAACCUGCCCUUGACUUUGGGAUAACUUCAGGAAACUGGGGCUAAUACCGGAUAGGAGCUCCUGCUGCAUGGUGGGGGUUGGAAAGUUUCGGCGGUUGGGGAUGGACUCGCGGCUUAUCCGCUUGUUGGUGGGGUAGUGGCUUACCAAGGCUUUGACGGGUAGCCGGCCUGGGAGGGUGACCGGCCACAUUGGGACUGAGAUACGCCCCAGACGCCUACGUGAGGCAGCAGGGGGGAAUAUUACACAAUGGGGGGAAGCCUGAGGCAGCAACGCCGGGUGCGGGAUGACGGCCUUUGGGGUGUAAACAGCUUUCGACUGAGACGAAGCGUGAGUGACGGUAAUGAGUAAAGAAGCACCGGCUAACUACGUG
RNAcentral lists this ribosomal RNA (468 nucleotides) under uncultured bacterium. RNAcentral describes it as "partial 16S ribosomal RNA". It matches the Rfam family "Bacterial small subunit ribosomal RNA", at positions 28 to 507 of the family's 1533-position model. The record is from RNAcentral.